RNAcentral lists this ribosomal RNA (520 nucleotides) under uncultured Glomus. RNAcentral's name for it is "SSU rRNA". It matches the Rfam family "Eukaryotic small subunit ribosomal RNA", at positions 569 to 1090 of the family's 1831-position model. Lineage: Eukaryota; Fungi; Glomeromycota; Glomeromycetes; Glomerales; Glomeraceae. The record is from RNAcentral.
AGCAGCCGCGGUAAUUCCAGCUCCAAUAGCGUAUAUUAAAGUUGUUGCAGUUAAAAAGCUCGUAGUUGAAUUUCGGGACCAAUCAGCCGGUCGUGCCUCCGGUACGCACUGGUUUUAUUGAUUUCUCCCUUCUGACGAACCAUGAUGUCAUUAAUUUGGUGUCAUGGGGAAUCAGGACUGUCACUUUGAAAAAAUUAGAGUGUUUAAAGCAAGCUAACGCUUGAAUACAUUAGCAUGGAAUAAUGAAAUAGGACGUUCGAUCCUAUUUUGUUGGUUUCUAGGAUUGACGUAAUGAUUAAUAGGGAUAGUUGGGGGCAUUAGUAUUCAAUUGUCAGAGGUGAAAUUCUUGGAUUUAUUGAAGACUAACUACUGCGAAAGCAUUUGCCAAGGAUGUUUUCAUUAAUCAAGAACGAAAGUUAGGGGAUCGAAGACGAUCAGAUACCGUCGUAGUCUUAACCAUAAACUAUGCCGACUAGGGAUCGGAUGAUGUUAAUUUUUUAAUGACUCAUUCGGCGCCUUA